UCAAUGGUAAAGUGCCCCUGGGUUCAAUCCACAGUAUGGGGGUUUAGUUGGGGGAAGACAUAUUAGAAAGGUGGUAUGCACUGUAGUCCCAGCUACUAGGGAGGCUGAGGCCAGCGGAAUGCUUGAGCUCACGGUUGGAGAUCAGCAUGGGCUACUCUGUCUCAAAACAACAAAAUUAAUUCCCUGUCUUCCUGGAGUUUACCUCUAGUGAGCGAGACAGGCUAUAACAAGAGAGAAGCGGUAUCAAGAUGCAGGAUGGUGUUAUAGAUAGGAGGUUUGAAAAGCAUCUGGAAAGAUGAACAGGUGUUAGCAGUAAAGGUCAUUCUAAUCUGUUCCAUAAAGUCCUGCUUGGGGUGAGCACAGAUGGCCGGAAAGGAGGGAGGUGGGGGGCAGGAAUGGGUGAGAAAGAAGGAACUCUUUAGGUAUAACUGGAUCGCAGAUGAAAUGGAAGGAAUAGGAGCCUUUCCUCCAAAAAAAUAGUUUGGAAGAGAAUUCAUUCCAUGUUUUUCAGAGACAAAAGGGACAUUAAGAGGUAAAGAAAACAAUACUCUCUUAUUUUACAGAUGAAGAAAACAAGACUCAGAGGGUGAAAUAAUUUGUCCCAAGCCACCCAGCUAGUGUGUGGGGAGGCGGAGGGCAGAACUAGGAUUAACCUCGUUUCCUGUUACAACUCAGGCAAGGCCUCACUCCUGCCCCUGGAGAGCGCAGCGAUUUGGAGCGGGAAGGCCACAUCCCUUUGAAAAACUGCCUGGGUCUCCUGACCCCGGC
Molecule: long non-coding RNA, 768 nt
Filed under: Marmota monax (woodchuck)
Lineage: Eukaryota; Metazoa; Chordata; Mammalia; Rodentia; Sciuridae
Source: RNAcentral